RNAcentral lists this ribosomal RNA (332 nucleotides) under uncultured bacterium. RNAcentral describes it as "bacterial SSU rRNA". It matches the Rfam family "Bacterial small subunit ribosomal RNA", at positions 568 to 898 of the family's 1533-position model. The record is from RNAcentral.
CGUGUAGGCGGUCGGUCAAGUCCGAUGUGAAAGCCCGGGGCUCAGCCCCGGAAGGGCAUCGGAAACUAGCCGGCUGGAGCGCGAUAGAGGAGGGUGGAAUUCCUGGUGUAGCGGUGAAAUGCGUAGAUAUCAGGAGGAACACCGGCGGCGAAGGCGGCCCUCUGGAUCGUUGCUGACGCUGAGACGCGAAAGCGUGGGGAGCAAACAGGAUUAGAUACCCUGGUAGUCCACGCUGUAAACUAUGGGUACUAGGUGUUCGGGGUAUUGACCCCCUGAGUGCCGCAGCUAACGCAUUAAGUACCCCGCCUGGGGACUAUGGCCGCAAGGUUAAA